ACACGGUACUCGGCCACACCAUGGGGCGACCGCUGCACCUCGUCCUGCUCAGUGCCUCCCUGGCUGGCCUCCUGCUGCCUGGGGAAAGUUUGUUCAUCCGCAAGGAGCAGGCCAACAACAUCCUGGUGAGGGUCAGGAGGGCCAAUUCCUUUCUUGAAGAGAUGAAGAAAGGACACCUCGAAAGAGAGUGCAUGGAAGAGACCUGCUCAUACGAAGAGGCCCGCGAGGUCUUUGAGGACAGCGACAAGACGCCGGCGUCGUGCCUUGGCCUCCGUAGUCGCUGAGAGCCACAGCCUAGAGCGCCAGCGCGCAGGCGCACAACUGACGCCAGGCCACGAACCCAGUACUGCGCCUGCGCAGCAGAAGCACUAGUACUGAGGCUGGGCCGCGAAGCCAGCACUGUGCCUGCGCAGCAGGAAGACCGGCAUCCAUACCGGGCGACGAACCCAGCACUGCGCCUGCGCAGUAGGAGGAGCACAGUGACACCAGGCCGCGAUUGCGCAGCCGCAGU
This 511-nucleotide small RNA is filed under the name Pongo abelii (Sumatran orangutan). Its description in RNAcentral is "processed transcript". The record is from RNAcentral. Lineage: Eukaryota; Metazoa; Chordata; Mammalia; Primates; Hominidae.